RNAcentral lists this ribosomal RNA (439 nucleotides) under Mycobacterium sp. Its description in RNAcentral is "partial 16S ribosomal RNA". It matches the Rfam family "Bacterial small subunit ribosomal RNA", at positions 493 to 928 of the family's 1533-position model. Lineage: Bacteria; Bacillati; Actinomycetota; Actinomycetes; Mycobacteriales; Mycobacteriaceae. The record is from RNAcentral.
CCGGCCAACUACGUGCCAGCAGCCGCGGUAAUACGUAGGGNGNGAGCGUUGUCCGGAAUUACUGGGCGUAAAGANCUCGUAGGUGGUUUGUCGCGUUGUUCGUGAAAUCUCANCNGCUUAACUGNGAGCGUGCGGGCGAUACGGGCAGACUAGAGUACUGCANGGGAGACUGGAAUUCCUGGUGUAGCGGUGGAAUGCGCAGAUAUCAGGAGNAACACCGGUGGCGAAGGCGGGUCUCUGGGCAGUAACUGACGCUGAGGAGCGAAAGCGUGGGGANCGAACAGGAUUAGAUNCCCUGGUAGUCCNCGCCGUAAACGGUGGGUACUAGGUGUGGGUUUCCUUCCUUGGGAUCCGUGCCGUANCUANCGCAUUAAGUANCCCGCCUGGGGAGUACGGCCGCAAGGCUAAAACUCAAAGGAAUUGACGGGGGCCCGCACAA